This is a long non-coding RNA of Cygnus olor (mute swan), 5783 nucleotides long. RefSeq lists it as uncharacterized. The record is from RefSeq and is a predicted model, not a curated record. Lineage: Eukaryota; Metazoa; Chordata; Aves; Anseriformes; Anatidae. The transcript is spliced from 4 exons.
CGCCUCCGCCAUCACGGGACCGCCGCGGGCGGGCCCGGCACCGCCCUCCGCGGCCGCCUCACGGCGGGGCAGCGGAGCGCAACGGGCGCCCAGCGGCACGGGCUGACGAGGGGAGUUGGGGUGGGGAUGUUCAUGUGUGUAUAUGUGGAGAGAGAUUGUGGCGACUUGGGUUGCGGCUUUCUGUAGUAAAAUCUUAAGAAUCGCUUGUGUUGUCGCAAAACAAUUGCAGUCCUGGGGGAAUUUUUUAAAAGGGCUUUCUGCAGAGUGUACCGUAAACUGGGCAGAGGGGUAAAUGUAAGCACAAGUCUGACUUUUGGCGAAGUGUCUCAGGUUUUAAGCGAGCUAGGUGUUCUGGCAGAUGCCAGUGUAAAUUUUGGAAGUUGGCAUGAGGUGUUCAGGAGGCAAGUCAUGCACCUGAAAGCUGGAAAUUCCAGUGGAAAGCCACCCUGACUUUAAGCCACCACUAAUUACAUGGUUAACGCAAACAGUGGCGUGCCAUCACUCGUGCUCAGGCGGAUACGGCAGUUACGCGACAGCAGCGGGGAGUUCAUCAUACCUGCAUGCUGCUACUGCAGGGCAUCUGCAGAUUCAGUCAGCAAGUGCUCCCUCGGUCAUCUUCCCGUUGCGGGAGGUCAGCUCCGGGGACACACUCUGGAUCAAGAAGCAGACUCUUAAGGCAAAAAAAUAAAAAUAGCAUCUCCAUAAUGAAGUUUAUAGCUGUUUGCAAAGAACACAGGCAUCUUGCUGUGGGAUUAUUAAGAAACAAAAUCUCUCUUCUUUUCUAGGGCUUGUCCUCUUUUAGGCUGUGUCACUCAAGGUUUUGGAGAAGAAGCUUUUGCUGUUGUUGAGGUUGCUUGCCCGGAAAAACGCUGAAGCCUCACCCAUUUCGUGAAUAAUUACAGGGUGGGGUGGCAUGGGUGUGUAAGAGGAGGUGAGUCCUCGCUGCUGUCCUCAGUACUGUGAUAUGGUCCUGCUGCCUUGCACUGAGACUGGCACAAUGGCACAGUCAGCAAAUCCAGGGAGCUGAUUGAACACCUCCCUCAUCAAAGAAAAAGUGAUGGCAUGUGGGAAGGAGCAGGAUCAAGGAAAGGCUGAGACUAUGCCAGGCCUGUUUAGAGUGUGAAACUGCACCUGAAGGGAAUAGAUCACAAAAUAUCCCGUUCUUGUCAUCUGCUGUGCCUGUUUGUGCCCAUUUGUGCAAUUGGAGUGUAAUGCCUUGAUGGAAGCUGUUUGAUGCAGGUUGUCCAUGGCAAAAUGUUACUUAGACUUGUCAUGUUACAGGUAAAAAACAAUUCCUGGUUAUAUGAUGCCAAACUGGCACACAGCACCUAACACUUCCAAAUCCCCCCACUGCAUGCAGCAAGAUCAAUGUGGAAAUGGCCUUGUGGUCUCUUCAGGCUGUCUCAGAGACAGAUUUUGCACGCUGCUAUUCAAGUUCUGGCACAGGUUUCAGGUUGAUUGUUGCUCUCUUCCAGUUUCCUAAUCUGACUGUCUCAAGUGUGCUGACUGAACUGCUUGAGUUAUAUACCUCUGUUUGUGUUUUUAAGCAUAUUUAGAAAAUACAGAUUAUUUCAUGUUUCCUCGGCACAACUGAGAGAUCAGUAAACUCUACUUUCUCAGUAGAGUACUCACUUACUCAGAGUAGUCAAUGAUGGAAGUUUGGAAAAGCUGGAAGUUUGUGGUCAGCUCUAUGCUGCUAAACUAAGCCUGCUGUUUGGAGGUAAGUGUUCACCAUCCUAACCAUCCCUAAGGACUGGUUGGUGUAGAUGCAACUCUGCUUAUUUUUGCUUUCAGUUUCGUUUUCUGUCAUUGUAGCUUCAGUAUAGCAAGGCUGUUCCACACCAAAAUCACCUAUUGUCUCUACUGUGCCUUUUUCAGAGAAUCAAGUAUGAAUGUUGACAGUGGAGGAGAGAGAUAAUAUGAGAUACAGUAAAAGGAUUAACAGUGGAUAAAGCAGGAGUCUGGGAAGGAUGGAAUUUUUUCUUCUAUCUGUAGAAAUGUCAAAAUGGGGACAUAACAUUUGGGAAUAGGGAUGGAGAAAGCGCCUCAACUAAGACAUUUUAACCUCAUUUGUGCAAGGAGGCUUUGACAAUGGAAACACAUUUCAGGUAGGAGUUACACCUUAUGUAGGCGGUCAUUAUAGUGGGGCAAGGAAGUAUCACAGUUAGAGAGAGAAGGGUUCUGUUUUGGUUUUCUUUUUCAGCUUUGUAAGUAGGCUGAUAACAUCAAGUGAUAAUCAAGGCCAACUUUAGUGAUGGCAGAUGGUUAUGCUUCCAGACUGUACUGCUGCUAGCAAAUGCAGCUUUAAAGUAUCAGUGAAGUGUUUAUAGGACAGCCUGGGGAAGCAAUGAAAGUAUUUCUCAAAGAUCACUGUGCUCCAUUAGCUCCAAGUCUUGGGCGUGGAAAGCUGUCAUGCUUUAUCCUUUUCCUGUUCUGUAUAUUUCAUGUCAUGCUUCUGAGAAGUACAGAUUUUGAUUAUUGCUCAAAGUCUUCUCUUUUAUUGUAGACAUUUUGCUUAGAUUGUAAUUUGUUCUAAACAACCAGGAAUGUACUUUUACCUAUGUCUGUAAAGACUUAUGUAAUAAUACAGCUCAUAAAUACCUACAAAAUGAGUACUAGAUAUACUACUAUGUAUUUUUGUGGAAAUUUUAAAAAGAAGUGCAGAAGUGAAUCAUUUCUGAGGUAAGAAACCUGCAUCCCCUAUUCUAUUAGAGAUGCCUUUUGCAUUCUGUAAGGUAAAAGUUAAGUGUUCAUUAGUUUUAGUCUAACCCUGUCUCCUGGGAAGUCUUAAAAAGUGAAAAGAUUGCUAAACAUGACAAGACAUGACAUGGAUCUAGCUGGGCUUGACUUCUGCAACAGAAUUGUUUGCAGAAUUCAAGGAACAGGUUCCUUCACACAAACACAUACACACACUCAUUAGAUAUGGAAAAAAUGUUUUUGACAUUAAGGAAUCUCAGAUGUUCACCUUACUAAUCAAAAUGGUGGAAUAGAGUUGGACAGAAGUAUCUUUUACGGGAGGAAGCGGUAAGGGUGUUUUCAAGUUAUUGAAUCUGGCUUUCAGAUCUUCCAAUUGUACUGUGGCUAUAGUUGGCACUUACAGAGAUGAGAGUUCUCUCAUCAGUGUUUCCAGGUGUGCAGAGGGUUUUACCAUAAAGUCUCUGCAGUUCACUCCCUUUCUUACUUGAGAAAUAGCAAAGUUGCAGAGAGGAAAUAGUGACUUAUCACUGAGUAAUAUUCUGUGGCCACUGUAGUCUGGACAACAUGAGGGGAAGUUACUACCCAGGCUGUGAAUUUACCAUACUGAUAAUUGCACCCUAGUGUCUCUUGAAGAUGUUUUUAGAGUAUGUUAAAGGCCUGUCCAAUAAUUUUUGAAAGAAAUUUUAUGGAAAUUAGCAGAAAGUGUGACUUUCCUUUUAUUUGGAAAUCAAGUGAUAUUUUACUUGCUGCAUUUCCAAGCUAAGCUAAAUCUCUCAGUUAACUGAAACUGACUUAAAUUACAAGUAAAUGUUUUCACAGUGACUGUAAGCAGUUCAGCUGUUCCAUUGUAUGAGCUAGAUUGUUUUGCACAUGAGUCUGAAUAGUACCUUCACGUGCGAUAGCUUACUGUCUUGGUCAGUGGCAUAGGGUACUUCAGCUGAAGUAUUGCCGACAAGGAGGCAUUUUGGCAGAGUAAGUUAGAGUCAUAAUUUUGGAGUACAAAGAGCUGAUCACAUUAACUUCCUGCAGGGAAAGUUUGUGAAGAUUCUGCAGUUUGGAAAUGGAGUAAACAACUACCAGGGUGUGACUUGCUGCACUGUGAAUUCCUAACCUGCACUGUGAUUUCCUAGCUCAUACAUGGUCUUUUGUAUGAUGUAUGUCCAGGUUUUUCUGGACAUAUCUUCUCUUUCCUUCUGGUGACUUUUUGUACAGAUUGGCCUGUUUUUUUUGUUUGUUUGUCUGUGUUUUUUUUUAAGGACAUCCUUUAUAUACCAAGGGUAUAAAAUCUGGUAGGCUGGAAACCCCCAGCAGCCUAGAAACUCUGCAAGUGACCACUGAGUGCUCACACUUUGUGUGCUUAGGACCGUCAGACUUCAAGUAUGUUUAUUGGCCAAGGAGAAUCUCAAAAUGGAAGGAGAUUACAUACGACCUGUGUGUGAGCUACAUGCUGAGAAUGCGUGUACUGGUGUUGACAUACGUAAGUAAUUAGGAAUGAGAACUAACCAAAACAGGAUGUUUAACUGAUGUAACUUGAAGAAAACUCAUAGGCCAAAGCUGCUUUGGAUAAUAGCGAGGACAGUUUGUGAAUGGAUGCAGAUGCCAGAAGCAUGAAUUGUGUAAGUAUGUGAACUAUCUACAAAGCAAAGUGUAGACACAGCAUAUGUAAUAUAUAUGUAUUUUUUUGUAAAGGGAAUUGUGGUUUAGGUUUCCAGCCUCUCUGUGUGUUACUGUCUGACUAGUGUUUCAGUGUUUGCUGUUACGUGAAUACAAGAAAAUCUGAAUGACAUGUCUGGUGCUGAGUCAAAUCUGUGGCUUCAGUACUUAAGCCCCUGGAAGGUGUGAGAAACAGAUGUUGGAAGAAAUUGUCAGCAUAUGCCAGGUGCAGGAACAUUCUAGUUUACUGCAUUUAUUGGAUGACUUUAAAACUCCUCAUGGCCUUCUGUUGGUUUGUCUUUUUCACAGCUGUCUGGGAAUUCUGAGGUCUAGAAUAGUGCUGACUGCGGAUAUGAGGACUUUGGACUGAUAGAGUCUGCUGUUCUGGUGGAGAACUACUGCUCCAGAGUCUUCAGUUUCAUCAGUCCCGGUUCUCUGGUGUCCAGUGAUUGCAUGAGGUAUCAGAAGAGGAAAAAGGCUGAAUCAGCCGGAGAGAGAGACCAUGCAGCUCCAUUGUGACCGUGCCUUGCUGUGCUGGGACAGAUAGGAUGCAGGAACAGCUGACCUGGACAUGGAACAGAGCUUUUACUGCAUUUUUGUCAUCCUCGAAGGGGAGUAAAUCUUGUGCAGAGGGCAGAAGAGAAGAAAAAGGGUUUUUGUGUCACUCAGUACUCCAGAUUUCCCAGUGAGUUAAAGUCACAUGAGCGAAAUCCUGGCUCGAGACCAGCCAGGUCACCUAGGCAGAAAGGGGUUAGCAAAAGGUGAAAGGCAGAGAUGCUCCUGAAAUUUGUUGUGACGCUUGUGUUAUCUGUAUGUCCAAAAUCUCAGGUAGUGUAGCCUGCCACUAACAUGUUCCAGUGCUUCGCUGAACUAGGUCUGGUGCAUUUUUUAGUGCUGGCAAAUUGUUACUGAUUUUCCAUAUUUUAAAACAGGACCACAAUCCUGAAAAGCAAUGAGCUGCAUGCAGAGUAGUCUAUUAAGAAGAAAAUAAUCUAAAACCUUGUUUUGCAAUGUUAAAUGCGGACUCCUGAAUGCAGGAUGGAGUGGACAGUGGAUAUAGAGGAAAGAGCAAAGCCAGAAUGUAGCUGAUACCUUCUGAGUUAUGUUGAUAACAAGUGAUUGCCUAACGGUGAGUUUAAGAUUAUUUCUCACAAGCUCUUGGCAGUUUCUUAUGUUGAAUGGUGCCAAUGUGUUUGUCUUCCAGCUGGAGCCACGAGAGGGUGUCCGUGUCCCACCCAGCCUGCCGAGGCUGUGACUUGAGGCAGGCAUCUGCCGCCUCACUGCAAGGGAGAGGGAGAAGAACAGGGAGGGAUGGCUGCAGAACAGCCCAGGCUUUAUGACUGCCACAGUUUAAAAAGCAGUGUCUAAAAUAUUACAUCUUGCAAGUAAAUGUGUGAAUGUAAUGGUAAUUCCACAAUAGUAGUUGUGGGGCA